CCGAGGAUGGCUGGCGGAGGCGUGGGGCAGGCCGCAGGACCCUCGAAGGAUCGUGUGAGACCCCGGGCAGCCUCUUGGGAGGCCAUUUCGAGGAGAAAACCUUGAUUUCUGCCUCAGGACCCUGGGCCUCAGUUUUCCUAUCUGAGAAGAAGGGCGAAGAGCUGUGCCCCCGACCACACCCGUCGGUGAUGGGGCAAACCGAGGGCAAGCAGGUUUGGUUCCUGCCCAGCAAAGGUGAGGGAGGACGGAGGAGACUCUCCCACCGCAUUCAGAACUUUAUUCCUUUAUUUUUGUCUCAAUCUUGUCAUAGAGGAGCGCUUCACUUUUGGUCAUCCCUUGGGCCACCAGGGCCUUCCCGUCUCCGUCUUCCCAUCGCAGGUCCUGGCCUCCUUCACACCACUCCAGGAUACCGCAGCAUCUCCCCCAGCGCAGCAGACGGAGGGCGCUUCACAUGCCCCCGGACCUAAGCCCACUCUCCCCUUCAAGAUCUGGACUCCACUUUUUUGCAACACUCUUAACUUCUUUGGAAGCUGGGAAGCCUCCUACUCCCUUGGGCCUCUCCACCCUGCCCUCAGCUAACUCGUCGGCAAGCCCCAGCCUAGACAUUGCCUGUUUUGUGAAGACAUCUAGAUGCUGGGCUGUCUGUUGAGUGCCCCACCCUGUGUUUGAGCAGCACCCUCUACUUCCCCUGUUCUACUUGCAUGUUUAUGUGCUCGUCUUCCUCAUUAUAAGAUCCACAGGGGAGGGGCCAUGUCUAUAUUAUUCAUACUUACAGUCCAGUGUCUAGUAUCUGGCACGUAGUAGGCACUCACUAGCUAUUGAGAUAUAAAUAUAGAUAUUUGUUGAAUUGAAAAUGAAUUGGGCCGGGCGUGGUGGCUCACGCCUGUAAUCCCAGAACUUUGGGAGGCCGAGGCAGGUGGAUCACUAGGUCAGGAGUUCGAGACAAGUCUGACCAAAAUGGUGAAACCCAGUCUCUACUAAAAAUACAAAAAUUAGCUGGGCGUGGUGGCACGUGCCUGUAAUCCCAGCUAUUCAGGAGGCUGAGGCGGGAGAAUCGCUUGAACCCCGGGAGGUGGAGGUUGCAGUGAGUCGAGAUUGCACCACUACACUCCAGCCUGGACAACAGAGUGAGACCCUGUCUCAAAAAAAAAAAAAAAAAAAGAGAAAAAGAAUAAAAUUAAAAAAAAGAAAAUAAAGGAACCUCAUUCACAUACACCUCCAAAACUCUGAUUUCCUAAAGUUGGGCAUUUCUCAUUGCUGGAGGUGUUCAGUUAGAGGCAUGCCGCCCCCUUGAAGAAAUGUUUAUUUCAUUUGUACAGUGGGUUGGGAUUUUACCUGAAUGCUUUGAGUACCCUUUUAAUCCUAUGAUGCUAGAGAUUGAUAGACCCAUGCCUAUUAUUCCUGUCAGUUCUCCCUGAAAUGUCAUCAGUUCUUCAUGUUCCGCUAUUUCUAGCUGUUGGCCCUACUCGUUUCUGUGCCUAAAUGCCCUACCUCCCACUCCUUUUCUGAGAAAGAUCUUCUGCCCUGUCAGUUAUGAAGUAAAGAUGUCCUAAGAUUCCUGCUCUUUCUUUUUUCUUUCUUUCUUUCUCUCUCUUUUUUUUUUUUUUCGACGGAGUUUCGCUCUUGUUGCCUGGAGUGCAAUGGCUGGAGUGCAAUGGCGCGAUCUCAGCUCACUGCAGCCUCUGCCACCUAGGCCCACCUUGGUCUCCCCAAGUGCUGGCAUUACAGGUGUGAGCCACUGUGCCCGGCCUCCUGCUCUUCUUUCAACCCUCUGCUCAGCAUCUUAGGCCUCAUUGGUGAUGUCCCACCUUGCUAGGUAGCAUCUUUCCUGAAUAUUUCUCCACUAAACAUUCUGAUGUUGGCUAGAUGGCCUAGUUAAUCUACACAUUUCAUUUUAUCACCUUCUCCAGAUGUUUUUUUGUGUAUGUCAGCUGAUACACUCUGGGGAGAAUGCCUUAAUAUAUGGGAAUAAUUAACUCAUGGCCAAGAAGGAAAUAACCAAGGGGACUUUUACUCUGGACCUAAUUCAAACCAAAGAGACAGAGCCUGAGAGAAAGCAGCUCUGUCAUCCUUGAGUUAGUAACAUCCAGGAAGGGAAGGCUAGGGUGGGGGAGUGAGUAAAACAGAUGGCAUUUAGGGAAGAACCAACAGGACUUUAAGAGGCAUGGCAGAGGGGCUUUGAUCCUGGCUAAACCAUCAGGGAAGGCAAUUGGAGCUGGGUGAACAGAUGGGGUCUUAUUACUGAAGAGAAAACGGUAAGGAGGCAGGGGGAAAUGGGACGUGUGCUAAAGCAGAGUGCCUCAUUCAGUGGAUGCAGUGAGAGCAGAGGCUGUUGGAAAAGUGGAUCAGGGAGGACCAUGCCACCAGGUGGGCAUCAGCAGAGUAUCACCCGAGUAUUGCAGAGGGAUACCAAAUAAGUCCACCUGAAGCCAGAGCUGAAACCCUGUGGAGGUCCGUUUACCCCUUCAGAAGUAGUGUACCACCAUCCAUCUACCACUGGAAUCCAAUUUCAGUUUUGGCAAAUUGUUAUAAAUAGGAAAAAGUCAGGGUUCCACAAUUCUGGCAGCACCCAGAGACUAUAACAGCAUCUGCACAGCCAAGUAGAGUUAGGAAACCUGGAUCCUAAUCCUGACUUUGCCUCUGAUUAGAUGUGUGAUCCUGGGCUGGAGCUGUUUUUUCAGUUGUAAAAUGCUGUUUAUUGGUGUUAGGUAGCAGCUAAUAAGGCUGGAGGUGGGGCUGGGUGUAGUGGCUCACACAUGUAAUCUCAGCAGUUUGACAGGCCAAGGCAGGAGGAUUGCUGGAGGCCAGGGAUUUGAGACCAGCUUGGGCUACAUAGUGAGACUCUGCCUGUACUAAAAAUUAAAAAAAAAAAAAAUAACUCAGUGCAGUGGCGCAUGCCUGUAGUCCCAGCUACUCAGGAGGUUGGGGUGGGAGGGUUGCUUGAGCCCAGGAGUUUGAGGCUGCAGUGAACUAUGAUCAAUCACACCACUGCAUUCUAGUAGCCUGAGUGACAGAGCAAGACCUGUCUCUAAAAAAAAAGAAAUUUUUUUUAAGGGUGGAGGUAGGGAAAUUCAAAGCUACUUACUAGCUGUGUGACCUUGCCUAAACUACCUCCUUGGAUUUGCAGUCUGUUUAUUUGAAAAUGUCAUAAGGGAUAAAUGAGAUUCCUUAUGUAAAGUACUUUAUAAAUAUUAAGCACUUACCAAAUGUUAGUCUGUUUUCACAUUAUUCUUCUUGGAUUACCAGAAAUUGGUUUGACCAUGAAUAAACAGGAGAUAAUUUCUUGGGUAAUCUGAGUUUGAAUCCCCUUUCUCUCUCUUACUAAUUGUAUGACUUUGAUUAGGUUAUUUAAUAUUUAAUUGUUCUGGGUCUCAGUUUUCUCAUUUGUGAAAUUAAAAUGUGUUCUUCAGAAUUGUGAGGGUUAAAUGUGAUAAAAGGCCUGACUCAUAUGAGAAAAUGCUCAAUAUAUUUGUUUUGUCAUUUUUAAGGGGUGGUUUUAGGGCACAGAACCCUAAAGGAAUGAAUGGAAUUCUAAAUACUUCGAAGCUAGAGUAGUGAAAGAUUCCAGGGGAACACAGUGCUGGCCUUCUCCCUUCUUCUUGGGGAAGAAAAGAUCUCAGUGAAGUUCCAUGGGUCUUCUCAGUAAGUAAAGAGGAGAUUAACUAGAAUGCUGAAUCUCAGACACUGAGGGGUUAGAGUGAUUGACCAGGGCUGGGUCCUGAAGAGCUUGGUAUUCUAGGCUGAGAAUAUAAUUUUAUUCUAAAGCUAAUGAAGGUUUUUAGGGAGAUGUGCAUUUUGAAAAGGUCUAGGGGCUGCUUGGAGAAUGGCCAGGAGAAGAUGAGGCUGGGAUGUGGAUCAGGUAAAUAUUCCGAGGACUUUGUGAAUGAGAGCUGAGGGCGUGGAGGAAACUAGUAAAAGUCAAAGAUGAUGCUUAGGUGUCUGCCUUGGGUAACUAGGGGAUGGAUGGGGGUGCUAUCCCCUGAGAUGUGACACAGUAAAGGAGCAAGUUUAGGCAGGAAGAGAAGUAGGUAAGUUUGAAUUGGGUGUGAUAUGUCCAAACAAGAUGUCUAGGAGGUGGUUCGGAGCUUAUGAGAGGGAUCUGGUUAAGGGAUAGAGUCAUAAAUUAUCAAAUUAUCACCAUAUAGAUCAUAAUUGAAGCCAUGGGAAUGAAUGGAUCCUUCAGUAGAGAGGGUCAAAGAAAUGAACAAAAUUCCUUGGGAAAUACCAUCAUUUAGGGGGCAAGUAGAGAAAGAGGAACCCAGAGGAAAAGGUGAGACCAGUCAGAGAGAUUGGAAGAAAAUCAUAGGGUGGGGUGCCACAGAAGCCACAGGGAGGAAGUGGGGUGAAGUACCUUCAGAUAAGCCAAGAUCUGAAAAAACAAAUACAAAAUUUAGCAACAAAAAGGUCACUGGUGACCUUGGAGAGAGUG
This 4429-nucleotide long non-coding RNA is filed under the name Homo sapiens (human). RNAcentral describes it as "non-protein coding lnc-ZFP90-3:1". Lineage: Eukaryota; Metazoa; Chordata; Mammalia; Primates; Hominidae. The record is from RNAcentral.